AAUCAACGCUGGCGGCGUGCCUCAGACAUGCAAGUCGAACGAUUAAAGCUCUCUUCGGAGAGUGUAUAGAGUGGCGCACGGGUGAGUAACACGUAAGUAAUCUACCUUCGAGUGGGGAAUAACGUCCGGAAACGGACGCUAAUACCGCAUAAUGCAGCGGCAUCGCAAGAUGACAGUUGUUAAAGAUUUAUCGCUUGAAGAGGAGCUUGCGGCGGAUUAGCUAGUUGGUAAGGUAAUGGCUUACCAAGGCUACGAUCUGUAACCGGUCUAAGAGGACGGUCGGUCACACUGACACUGAAUAACGGGUCAGACUCCUACGGGAGGCAGCAGUCGGGAAUUUUGGGCAAUGGGCGAAAGCCUGACCCACGCAACGCCGCGUGAAGGAUGAAGUAUUUCGGUAUGUAAACUUACGAAAG
This 416-nucleotide ribosomal RNA is filed under the name uncultured bacterium. RNAcentral's name for it is "bacterial SSU rRNA". It matches the Rfam family "Bacterial small subunit ribosomal RNA", at positions 32 to 439 of the family's 1533-position model. The record is from RNAcentral.